RNAcentral lists this ribosomal RNA (391 nucleotides) under uncultured bacterium. RNAcentral describes it as "bacterial SSU rRNA". It matches the Rfam family "Bacterial small subunit ribosomal RNA", at positions 963 to 1353 of the family's 1533-position model. The record is from RNAcentral.
GAAGAACCUUACCACCCCUUGACAUCCUCGGAACUGCCUGGAGACAGGCAGGUGCCUUCGGGAGCCGAGUGACAGGUGCUGCAUGGCUGUUGUCAGCUCGUGUCGUGAGAUGUUGGGUUAAGUCCCGUAACGAGCGCAACCCUUGUCCUUAUUUGCCAGCGGGUCAGGCCGGGAACUCUAGGGAGACUGCCGGUGACAAACCGGAGGAAGGUGGGGAUGACGUCAAGUCAUCAUGGCCCUCACGGGGUGGGCUACAAACGUGCUACAAUGGGCGGCACAGAGGGAUGGGAACCAGCAAUGGCAAGCGAAUCCCAAAAAACCGCUCGUAGUCCGGAUAGGAGUCUGCAACUCGACUCCUUGAAGUCGGAAUCGCUAGUAAUCGCGAAUCAGA